Molecule: ribosomal RNA, 334 nt
Filed under: uncultured bacterium
Lineage: Bacteria
Description: bacterial SSU rRNA
Rfam family: Bacterial small subunit ribosomal RNA
Source: RNAcentral
GAUGAACGCUGGCGGCGUGCUUAACACAUGCAAGUCGAACGGAGAUAUCAUUUUCGAAGCGAUUAGUUUACUAAGAGUGGAGAUGUUGCUAUCUUAGUGGCGGACGGGUGAGUAACGCGUGGGUAACCUGCCUUACACUGGGGGAUAACACUUAGAAAUAGGUGCUAAUACCGCAUAACAGUAGGAGACGCAUGUCUUUUACUUGAAAACUCCGGUGGUGUAAGAUGGACCCGCGUCUGAUUAGCUUGUUGGCGGGGUAACGGCCCACCAAGGCAACGAUCAGUAGCCGGCCUGAGAGGGUGAACGGCCACAUUGGGACUGAGACACGGCCCAA